This 486-nucleotide ribosomal RNA is filed under the name uncultured bacterium. RNAcentral's name for it is "partial 16S ribosomal RNA". It matches the Rfam family "Bacterial small subunit ribosomal RNA", at positions 28 to 507 of the family's 1533-position model. The record is from RNAcentral.
GACGAACGCUGGCGGCGUGCUUAACACAUGCAAGUCGAACGCUGAAGACCUGGCUUUUGUUGGGUUGGAUGAGUGGCGAACGGGUGAGUAACACGUGAGUAACCUGCCCUCUUCUUUGGGAUAACGCCCGGAAACGGGUGCUAAUACUGGAUAUUCACUGAUCUUCGCAUGGGGGUUGGUGGAAAGGUUUGUUCUGGUGGGGGAUGGGCUCGCGGCCUAUCAGCUUGUUGGUGGGGUGAUGGCCUACCAAGGCUUUGACGGGUAGCCGGCCUGAGAGGGUGACCGGUCACAUUGGGACUGAGAUACGGCCCAGACUCCUACGGGAGGCAGCAGUGGGGAAUAUUGCACAAUGGGCGAAAGCCUGACGCAGCGACGCCGCGUGAGGGAUGGAGGCCUUCGGGUUGUAAACCUCUUUCGCUCAUGGUCAAGCCGCAACUGUGGGUUGUGGUGAGGGUAGUGGGUAAAGAAGCGCCGGCUAACUACGUG